RNAcentral lists this unclassified non-coding RNA (61 nucleotides) under Yersinia enterocolitica (type O:2) str. YE3094/96. The record is from RNAcentral. Lineage: Bacteria; Pseudomonadati; Pseudomonadota; Gammaproteobacteria; Enterobacterales; Yersiniaceae.
GUUAUUCUCUCUAUUACCUGAUCUGGAUCAUACCAGCGUAGGGAAGUGUAUUAAUGAAGCG